UAGGGGAUAACACUUGGAAACAGGUGCUAAUACCGGAUAACAACCAAAACCACCUGGUUUUGGUUUAAAAGACGGCUUCGGCUGUCACUUUAGGAUGGACCCGCGGCGCAUUAGCUUGUUGGUAAGGUAACGGCUUACCAAGGCGAUGAUACGUAGCCGACCUGAGAGGGUAAUCGGCCACAUUGGGACUGAGACACGGCCCAAACUCCUACGGGAGGCAGCAGUAGGGAAUCUUCCACAAUGGACGAAAGUCUGAUGGAGCAACGCCGCGUGAGUGAUGAAGGGUUUCGGCUCGUAAAACUCUGUUGUUGGAGAAGAACAGGUGUCAGAGUAACUGUUGACAUCUUGACGGUAUCCAACCAGAAAGCCACGGCUAACUACGUGCCAGCAGCCGCGGUAAUACGUAGGUGGCAAGUGUUGUCCGGAUUUAUUGGGCGUAAAGCGAGCGCAGGCGGUUUUUUAGGUCUGAUGUGAAAGCCUUCGGCUUAACCGGAGAAGUGCAUCGGAAACCGGGAGACUUGAGUGCAGAAGAGGACAGUGGAACUCCAUGUGUAGCGGUGAAAUGCGUAGAUAUAUGGAAGAACACCAGUGGCGAAGGCGGCUGU
RNAcentral lists this ribosomal RNA (605 nucleotides) under uncultured bacterium. RNAcentral describes it as "bacterial SSU rRNA". It matches the Rfam family "Bacterial small subunit ribosomal RNA", at positions 137 to 728 of the family's 1533-position model. The record is from RNAcentral.